Molecule: long non-coding RNA, 1283 nt
Organism: Cygnus olor (mute swan)
Lineage: Eukaryota; Metazoa; Chordata; Aves; Anseriformes; Anatidae
Exons: 5
Source: RefSeq, a predicted model, not a curated record
AGCCUCGGCAGGUCCGGCGGGGAGAAAUAGCCGAGGGCUUCGGCGCCCCGCAAGCCCGCGGGGUGAGGCCAGGCUUUGGUGGCUGUGCUGCUCGGUGGAGGAGGCGGUUGUGCCCGGCUCAAGGGCAAACGAAGUGGCUUUCCUCAGAAAAACCCGCGGGCAGGGCUCUGUGGGGGGGGUCUCGACCCAGCACCUGCCUGCUUUGCCCUUCAUAGGUCCAGUGACAAGCUGCCCGCAGCCCUUGGGUUGCUUGGGGGCUGUGUUGGUGGAGGGGAGGCCUGGGGGGCUGCAGCCCCUCUGUCGGGGUCACCCCACGUCCCCCCUGCCACCCCGACCCCUUCCUCGCUUCCCACAAGGGUCCUGUAGUUACACAACCCCGCAUCCCUCUGUUUGGCUGUAGAGAGCAAGCCUCUCGCAAACUCUGCAAUGGAGAAAAUGUCACGUUCCCCGCAGAUGUUUCUGCUGUCCUCUAACUUGAUGAAACUGCCUCUGAAAUAUAACGAGCUGUUUCCUCCCCUCAGAUAAAUUAGGUCCAUAUAUCUUCUGGGACAAAGAGACGAUCUUCCAGUGUGUUCAUGUAGGUCCAAUACCACUGAGUACUCAAGCACAUACUCUGAUUACAAGCUCUUCCAUGAGAAACACCUGGAAGAACAUCCACUUGCAGGGGCUGCCCUUUUCUUCCCCAGAAGCAGUUGAGUGCUCCUGCUGAAUCUAAUUCACUUGGUUGUUUUUCGUACCUUUGCCCUGCAAGCUGUUCUGCAUGGGCAGUGGAAUAUUAUUGCAGCACGCGGCGCAUCGUGAUGCAGCUCAUCAGCGCGGUGAGCGCGGCGGAGGAGACGUCUCAGCAGACGGAUCCUGAGCGAAGCAGGCACCUCUUCCCGCACCGCUCGGGGUGUGCAAAGCGUCACGUCGAGCCCACCCCGCCAGCCACCACGAGCGAAUGCAGGAUUUUCGUGUCUGGUGCCAUGUCUCCUAGCAACAUUGCUAGGCAGCACGCUAUACAUCACGCGCGGCGCCGGCUACUACAGUAUAGCGGGGCCGUUCCCAGCUCUUUUUCUCGGCUAUAAAAUAUUAAUUUUCUGCUCGCAAAGGGGAGGCGGCACCUGUGGGUCGAGAGGUGUUCCCUCCCGGGUGGACGCGUGCAGCUCCGUUGGCUGUCACGGGAAUCACGAGCAGCCCCAGGCUGGGCUGAGCUCCUGAUCAAAAAAAGAGAGUCUGAUUCUGAUCUCACCCCCAUGAAAAUCACAGAUAAUUUAGUUACAACCAAUGGAGCUGCAGUGCCC